GUUGUUGUGUUUGUUUUUUGUCUGAUGAUGGUCCAGUUUUUGUGUAAUUUUUGUAGUCUGUUAGAAUGCCUCAAAACCUCAGCUCUUCAAGAUUAUAAAUGAUCUAAAUAAAUUAUCAUUUCUCAUGUUGUGAGUUAACUUGUCUUCAGACGAUGGAAAACAUAUCAUUAACUGCAACAAAUUAAAACUGCAAAGUUGAAAAGAAAAUUUGUAAAGAAUUAUGCAAGACUUAAAGAUUAUGC
Molecule: long non-coding RNA, 242 nt
Filed under: Gallus gallus (chicken)
Lineage: Eukaryota; Metazoa; Chordata; Aves; Galliformes; Phasianidae
Source: RNAcentral